AAGACUGGGAUAACUCCGGGAAACCGGAGCUAAUACCGGAUAGUUCCUUGAACCGCAUGGUUCAAGGAUGAAAGACGGUUUCGGCUGUCACUUACAGAUGGACCCGCGGCGCAUUAGCUAGUUGGUGGGGUAAUGGCUCACCAAGGCGACGAUGCGUAGCCGACCUGAGAGGGUGAUCGGCCACACUGGGACUGAGACACGGCCCAGACUCCUACGGGAGGCAGCAGUAGGGAAUCUUCCGCAAUGGACGAAAGUCUGACGGAGCAACGCCGCGUGAGUGAUGAAGGUUUUCGGAUCGUAAAGCUCUGUUGUUAGGGAAGAACAAGUGCGAGAGUAACUGCUCGCACCUUGACGGUACCUAACCAGAAAGCCACGGCUAACUACGUGCCAGCAGCCGCGGUAAUACGUAGGUGGCAAGCGUUGUCCGGAAUUAUUGGGCGUAAAGGGCUCGCAGGCGGUUUCUUAAGUCUGAUGUGAAAGCCCCCGGCUCAACCGGGGAGGGUCAUUGGAAACUGGGAAACUUGAGUGCAGAAGAGGAGAGUGGAAUUCCACGUGUAGCGGUGAAAUGCGUAGAGAUGUGGAGGAACACCAGUGGCGAAGGCGACUCUCUGGUCUGUAACUGACGCUGAGGAGCGAAAGCGUGGGGAGCGAACAGGAUUAGAUACCCUGGUAGUCCACGCCGUAAACGAUGAGUGCUAAGUGUUAGGGGGUUUCCGCCCCUUAGUGCUGCAGCUAACGCAUUAAGCACUCCGCCUGGGGAGUACGGUCGCAAGACUGAAACUCAAAGGAAUUGACGGGGGCCCGCACAAGCGGUGGAGCAUGUGGUUUAAUUCGAAGCAACGCGAAGAACCUUACCAGGUCUUGACAUCCUCUGACAACCCUAGAGAUAGGGCUUUCCCUUCGGGGACAGAGUGACAGGUGGUGCAUGGUUGUCGUCAGCUCGUGUCGUGAGAUGUUGGGUUAAGUCCCGCAACGAGCGCAACCCUUGAUCUUAGUUGCCAGCAUUCAGUUGGGCACUCUAAGGUGACUGCCGGUGACAAACCGGAGGAAGGUGGGGAUGACGUCAAAUCAUCAUGCCCCUUAUGACCUGGGCUACACACGUGCUACAAUGGACAGAACAAAGGGCUGCAAGACCGCAAGGUUUAGCCAAUCCCAUAAAUCUGUUCUCAGUUCGGAUCGCAGUCUGCAACUCGACUGCGUGAAGCUGGAAUCGCU
Molecule: ribosomal RNA, 1215 nt
Filed under: Bacillus pumilus
Lineage: Bacteria; Bacillati; Bacillota; Bacilli; Caryophanales; Bacillaceae
Description: bacterial SSU rRNA
Rfam family: Bacterial small subunit ribosomal RNA
Source: RNAcentral